GUCCCAGUAGCUCAGCUGGAUAGAGCAACAGCCUUCUAAGCUGUAGGUCGCAGGUUCGAGUCCUGCCUGGGACGCCA
Molecule: transfer RNA, 77 nt
Filed under: Salicibibacter cibarius
Lineage: Bacteria; Bacillati; Bacillota; Bacilli; Caryophanales; Bacillaceae
Description: Salicibibacter sp. NKC5-3 tRNA-Arg
Rfam family: tRNA
About the family: Transfer RNA (tRNA) molecules are approximately 80 nucleotides in length.
Source: RNAcentral